This is a non-coding RNA of Gossypium hirsutum (cotton), 131 nucleotides long. NCBI's taxonomy places the organism in Eukaryota, Viridiplantae, Streptophyta, Magnoliopsida, Malvales, Malvaceae. The record is from Rfam.
UAUUAAAUAUUUCAUCUAUUUCUAUUGUUAAAAACUAGUGUGGCUGAUGAAAUUUCUAGACAGUUACGUGUACCCCAUGCUAACGAACAAAAACCAGGUUUUAAUAGUAGAAAUGGAUGAAAUUUAUAACA